GAUGAAGAACGUAGCGAAAUGCGAUAAGUAAUGCGAAUUGCAGAAUUCCAGUGAGUCUUCGAAUCUUUGAACGCACAUUGCGCCCUUUGGUAUUCCGAAGGGCAUGCCUGUUCGAGCGUCAUUAUCACCCCUCAAGCCCUCGGCUUGGUGUUGGAAGGUUUGGUGGAGGCCCCCUCGGGGGCUCCUGCCCCUCCCAAAGACAAUGACGGCGGCCUCGUUGGACCCCCGGUACACUGAGUUCUUCACGGGACACGUAUCGGACACAUGGGUUUACGGGACACGGUCUGCCUCCCCUCAGGGAGAAUCUUUCUAAGGUUGACCUCGGAUCAGGUAGGGAUACCCGCUGAACUUAAGCAUAUCAAUAAGCGGAGGA
This 373-nucleotide unclassified non-coding RNA is filed under the name soil metagenome. Its description in RNAcentral is "partial contains 5.8S ribosomal RNA, internal transcribed spacer 2, and large subunit ribosomal RNA". The stretch from base 1 to 121 matches the Rfam family "5.8S ribosomal RNA", at positions 35 to 154 of the family's 154-position model. The record is from RNAcentral.